Molecule: long non-coding RNA, 213 nt
Organism: Pseudomyrmex gracilis
Lineage: Eukaryota; Metazoa; Arthropoda; Insecta; Hymenoptera; Formicidae
Exons: 3
Source: RefSeq, a predicted model, not a curated record
GUUUCUUUGCAAUCGUGAAUUUUAGUAUUAACCACAUAUAUUUAGAUGAAGAUAUCGAAAAGGCUAAUAAGACUGUAGUACUGCUUUUGGAAAACCUGCUCGACGUAUAUGAUGUAAACACGGCAAUGUUUAUCAACGACAUCAUAGCAAAAAAAGUUGAGUCUCGCCGUAGUUUUGUAAGUAGAACACGAUAUAACAUUCGUUACAAAGUCC